AUGCACCUUAUUCUCAAAUGCCCCUAUGCUAGAACUGUUUGGCAGCAGGUUGCGGAAUGGAGGGACUGUCCCGCUUUGGCCUCCAAUGCCCAAGAUAUUGAGACCAUCAUUGAGUGGUGGAAUGUGCGCACGCGCAGCCUGCCAAAGAAGCAUGUUUCGACUGCAAUUUUCAGCGCAUGGCAUCUCUGGAAAGAGCGUAACAGGCGAGUCUUUGAGCAAAAGUUCAUGAAUGAAGCUGCUCUCUUUUGCCUGAUUAAGCAGGAUAUUUUACAGCCGACGGUAUCCAUCCGCUGGAUUACUGAUGUCCAGAACGAGCCUGACUAG
This 324-nucleotide ribosomal RNA is filed under the name Triticum aestivum (bread wheat). RNAcentral describes it as "partial small subunit ribosomal RNA". The record is from RNAcentral. Lineage: Eukaryota; Viridiplantae; Streptophyta; Magnoliopsida; Poales; Poaceae.